AUCCAGAGAACUUAGCAGAGAUGCUUUGGUGCCUUCGGGAACUCUGAGACAGGUGCUGCAUGGCUGUCGUCAGCUCGUGUUGUGAAAUGUUGGGUUAAGUCCCGNAACGAGCGCAACCCUUUAUCCUUUGUUGCCAGCGGUUCGGCCGGGAACUCAAAGGAGACUGCCGGUGAUAAACCGGAGGAAGGUGGGGAUGACGUCAAGUCAUCAUGGCCCUUACGGCCAGGGCUACACACGUGCUACAAUGGCGCAUACAAAGAGAAGCGACCUCGCGAGAGCAAGCGGACCUCAUAAAGUGCGUCGUAGUCCGGAUUGGAGUCUGCAACUCGACUCCAUGAAGUCGGAAUCGCUAGUAAUCGUAGAUCAGAAUGCUACGGUGAAUACGUUCCCGGGCCUUGUACACACCGCCCGUCACACCAUGGGAGUGGGUUGCAAAAGAAGUAGGUAGCUUAACCUUCGGGAGGGCGCUUACCACUUUGUGAUUCAUGACUGGGGUGAAGUCGUAACAAGGUAGGCGUAGCGAG
RNAcentral lists this ribosomal RNA (524 nucleotides) under uncultured bacterium. RNAcentral describes it as "bacterial SSU rRNA". It matches the Rfam family "Bacterial small subunit ribosomal RNA", at positions 986 to 1509 of the family's 1533-position model. The record is from RNAcentral.